GUAAUAGUUAUGUUCUUGAAACCCAAAGGAUUUGGCGGUAUUUUAUUCUUUUUAGAGGAACCUGUCCCGUGAUCGAUAAUCCACGAGUUUAUUUACUUAUUUUUGUUUACAGUUUGUAUACCUCCGUCAUCAGAGUAUCUUUUUAGAGUGAAUACUCAUACUAUAAGAAAUAUAUUAUGUCAGGUCAAGGUGCAAUUUAUGAAUAAGUGGAGGUGGGUUACAAUGAAUAUAUUCAUACGGAAUAUAGAAUUUAUAUUUUAUAUGAAGGUGGAUUUAAAAGUAAAAUUAAUUUUUCUAUUAAUUUGAUUUUAGCUCUGAAAUAUGCACACAUCGCCCG
This 337-nucleotide ribosomal RNA is filed under the name Choristhemis flavoterminata. RNAcentral's name for it is "partial 12S ribosomal RNA". RNAcentral also lists the same sequence under 1 other name. The record is from RNAcentral. Lineage: Eukaryota; Metazoa; Arthropoda; Insecta; Odonata; Synthemistidae.